AAGUCUCAAGUGAAGUAAG
RNAcentral lists this ribosomal RNA (19 nucleotides) under Bonamia ostreae. Its description in RNAcentral is "partial large subunit ribosomal RNA". The record is from RNAcentral. RNAcentral also lists the same sequence under 4 other names. Lineage: Eukaryota; Endomyxa; Ascetosporea; Haplosporida; Haplosporidiidae.